GAUGAACGCUAGCUACAGGCUUAACACAUGCAAGUCGAGGGGUAACGAGAGGAAAGCUUGCUUUCCUUGUCGACGACCGGCGCACGGGUGAGUAACGCGUAUCCAACCUGCCCCCAACUAGGGAAUAACCUUGCGAAAGUAAGACUAAUACCCUAUAAUUUCCUCAGAUGUCAUCUGACGAGGAAUAAAGAUUUAUCGGUUGUGGAUGGGGAUGCGUCUGAUUAGCUUGUUGGCGGGGUAACGGCCCACCAAGGCAACGAUCAGUAGGGGUUCUGAGAGGGAGGUCCCCCACAUUGGAAAUGAGACACGGUCCAAACGCCUACGGGAGGCAGCAGUGAGGAAUAUUGGUCAAUGGGCGGAAGCCUGAACCAGCCAAGUAGCGUGCAGGAUGACGGCCCUAUGGGUUGUAAACUGCUUUUAUACAGGAAUAAAGUUAGCCACGUGUGGUUAUUUGUAGGUACUGUAUGAAUAAGGACCGGCUAAUUCCGUGCCAGCCGCCGCCGUAA
This 506-nucleotide ribosomal RNA is filed under the name uncultured bacterium. RNAcentral describes it as "partial 16S ribosomal RNA". It matches the Rfam family "Bacterial small subunit ribosomal RNA", at positions 28 to 523 of the family's 1533-position model. The record is from RNAcentral.